Long non-coding RNA from Sphaeramia orbicularis (orbiculate cardinalfish), 125 nucleotides. RefSeq lists it as uncharacterized. The transcript is spliced from 3 exons. Lineage: Eukaryota; Metazoa; Chordata; Actinopteri; Kurtiformes; Apogonidae. The record is from RefSeq and is a predicted model, not a curated record.
AGAAUCCAAGAGCAGCUACAGCGACUGCAGCUACAUAACCUGAGUUUCACUUCUCUAUCACUUAUGUUUAUUCAACCAUAGAUGAAGGAAAGUCAAAAGAACUGAUGUGUUAAUAGUUAUUACAU